Dentipellis sp. KUC8613 is the source of this 83-nucleotide non-coding RNA. The record is from the annotation of a GenBank genome assembly. NCBI's taxonomy places the organism in Eukaryota, Fungi, Basidiomycota, Agaricomycetes, Russulales, Hericiaceae.
UCGGAUAUGGUGUAAUGGCUAACAUUACCGCCUCUCAUUUCGAGGGCGCGCGGUAGCUCGGGGUUCGAUUCCCCGUAUCCGAA